CAAGGCUUGGUGGGGUUUGUCGGCCGCCUGAAACCCAGAAGGCAGCAUCCAAAACUGCCUCCACAAGGCUACCCCUGCUGCGGCGGGUGUGUUGUGGUGUGUGCUCCUCAGAUGACUGUUGCCGAAUCACACGGGCUUGAUGCUUUCGAGCUGCGUCCACUGUUUGGUCUGCCGCCACUUGCUCAGGUGUUCGGUUGGCUCGCACCUCUGCUACCCGAGCUGCAUGUGCUGCUCGAUGCGUGGCCACUUGCUCAGGCGUUCGGUUGGCUCACGCCUCCGACCACCGCGCCCACCGAGCAGUAGCUGCUGCUCGGUCCGCCGCCACUUGCUCAGGUGUCCGGUUGGCUCGUGCAUCUGCCCAUCACGCUGCAGCUGCUGCUCGAUCCGCCGCCACUUGCUCAG
Molecule: long non-coding RNA, 402 nt
Filed under: Volvox carteri
Lineage: Eukaryota; Viridiplantae; Chlorophyta; Chlorophyceae; Chlamydomonadales; Volvocaceae
Description: long non-coding RNA (VCAR_LNC003923)
Source: RNAcentral